Molecule: long non-coding RNA, 343 nt
Organism: Hydra vulgaris (swiftwater hydra)
Lineage: Eukaryota; Metazoa; Cnidaria; Hydrozoa; Anthoathecata; Hydridae
Source: RefSeq, a predicted model, not a curated record
GGAUUACCUAACAUAACAUAACAAAAUAUAAACAACGAAAAUGACGCUUCGAGGACAAGAAUUCGAGAAAUAAAGUUUACUUGGUCUUUUGUGAUGUUCCAAUUCCAUUUUUUUGAAAGUGACUCAUCAUGUUAUAGUGUGAUGUUUUCUGAAUGACUUUAUGUGAUAGUGUGAACGUUCUCUGACUGGCAGAAGGAUAUUCAGUUUUCUUUUUGCCCCACCUUGUCAGUCUGGUGCUAAAAAGAUUGAUUUCAAAUUGGUUUCUCAAAUACGAGCAGACGAUUUAGAAAGAAGAAUCUCAAGUGUUUUAAUAAAUUUGAUUUUCAUUCAAAGUCAAUCUCAU